Long non-coding RNA from Mercurialis annua (annual mercury), 1448 nucleotides. RefSeq lists it as uncharacterized. The transcript has 3 exons. NCBI's taxonomy places the organism in Eukaryota, Viridiplantae, Streptophyta, Magnoliopsida, Malpighiales, Euphorbiaceae. The record is from RefSeq and is a predicted model, not a curated record.
GUGAUUUCUGGUUUGUGUUUGUGUUAUAUACUCUGAAAUUAGCACAAAUUUAGUGGUCAUUUAAUCUCUGUUUUGAAUUGAAAUCUUUAGAAUUGUUAGGGAUAGAUUAUAUAUCUGAAUUAGGUCAUUUAUGACAUUAUUUUGUUUUACUUGAAGCUCCAAUAAUUGAUUUCUAGAACAGCUAAUAUCGUUGCAAGCAUUAUAAUUUAAUUUAACGCUGAAUUUCCUCAAAAAAAAAAAAAACAAUAAAAAUAAAUAAAUUAAAAGCUGAAAUUGUAUUUAAAUUGAAAGCAUCAGUUUGUAGACUCUGAUUUCUUACAACUCUUGGAAUAAUGAGUUGCAAAGGUUUAAUAAGUUUAGUGACAUCUUCGACAGCAAAAAGUAUGUCGCAACUUAAGAAAUUGAGUAUAAGCGAAUGUAAUGAAAUGAAGGAAAUAGUAUCAAAUGAUGGAGAUAGCACGGAAGAUGAAAUUAUCUUCAUCUGAUUAGAAAAUUUGGAAAUGCACUGUUUACCGAGCCUUGCCAGCUUCUCCUCAGGGAAACAGCAUCUGAAAUUCCCGUCCUUGACAGAAGUAAUUGCCAGUCAAUGCCCGAAAUUGCAGGUUUUUUCAAAUGAAUCAGUAAGCACCCCAACGCUUCAGACAGUAAUGCUGACAAGAGAAAAGGAUAGAACAUAGAGAAGUUGUUUAUAGGGAUGCACCCCGACGCUUCAGAGAGUAAUGCUGACAAGAGAAAAUGAUAGAACAUGUUUGAAUGGCGAUUUUAACACCACCAUAGAUAAUUUGUUUAUAGGGAUGCACCCCAACGCUUCUGAGAAUAAUGCUGACGAGAAAAUGAUAGAACGUGUUGGAAUGGCGAUCUUAACACCACCAUAGAGAAGUUGUUUAUAGGGAUGGUUGGAUCCUGAGAGCUACCACAGUUGAAGCUCUCUGAAUUGUCUUCCUUGGAGAAAAUUACUACAGUAAACUACCCAAAAAUUGAGUUGGCCACUUUAGUUCCAUUGAUUGUUGGUGCAUCUCAAAAUCUGACAAUUCCGGAAGUAUCAAAAUGUCGGGAACUAAAAAAUCUGAUAACUUCCUCAACAGAUAAAAGUCCAGUGAAACUCGUGAGGUCAUAAUCUAACAAUUCAGGAAAUAUAAAAAUGUCGGGAACUAAAAAAUCUGAUAACUUCCUCAACAGCUAAAAGUCCGAUGAAACUCGUGAGGACAGAAGAAAAGGAUGGGGAAUGGAAAUCUUAAUUCCACCAUACAACAGUUGUAUACAGAAAUGAAUGCGGAGGAAUGGUGAUCGAUCAGCUCAAGCAGAAGUACCCAAUGCUCUUUAUGUUUGUUCUCUUUUAUUAUCUAUUAUAAUUUUUAGCAAUUGUUAUUACUUUUUUUAAGGGAAUAUUUGUCAGCAAUUAAGUUGUCCAACUUAGUUUGAAGAGCAACUCUGAUACAAGUUUUUUU